RNAcentral lists this non-coding RNA (24 nucleotides) under Arabidopsis thaliana (thale cress). Lineage: Eukaryota; Viridiplantae; Streptophyta; Magnoliopsida; Brassicales; Brassicaceae. The record is from RNAcentral.
GAGAAUCGAUUCACGGCCAACAAG